ACCAAAGGAGGCCUUAAUGAACCUGCAAAUAUCUUUAGUGUUCCUGGUAUUCGUUCAUCUAGGAGCAAAGAAAAGGAGCUGUCACACCGCAAAAAGAUAAAAUAACUGACACAACAAAUGCAGGGCCAAAAGGCACAAUUCGGAGUACCUCAAGGAUAAUAGGUGCAUAAAAUUCAGUCACAAACACAUAUAAUCCUCACAUUACAUAAAACUCAGUCCUGGAACAUAGCCAGACUAGUAUUAAACAGCUAAAUUUGACCAAACACAGGUAAGGCAACUUCCACAGCCACAACCGCAUAACAAAUCAGGAAUCACUGGGACAAUGCCAUCAUCCCUCAGAGUUUCGCUGCCUGGAUGUCAGAUGAUGCUUCCCCUCCCUCCAAGGCGCCUACUUGGAUCGCUGCCUCAUCUUUCGGCGCUUCCUCUUGAGCCUCCUCAUCCUCUUCUUCUUCCACUGCACAUUAAGACGAAAUGCAGAUCAUCAGUACAAAUUGCAUAGUGCUAGAUGCGCAGGAACAUGAGAUAAUUCCACAUGAAACGAGAAAGUAGUAUGUACUUCAGAAUCAGAAGAUUGAGUGUUUCAUUGGAUAUCAUCACGUGAUUUUCAGAAACACGGACCAAUUGUCCUUCAUCAUUUCCCAAACUGCCAAUUUGGCAUUGCAAAAAGAGAACUAUUCUAAGAAGGUCGUAGCUAUCUACAAACAGGUUAGGCAAAGCAAAGUAGAUCUGCAGUCAGUUUGACAUUCAGAAUGAGUAGGAGGAUUUUAUCAUCAAAUAGAUCAGACGCCAAUUGUCUUCCUCAUCAUGCCAACCGACGCAAUUAUACAAAAUAAAAACAGUGGAAAAUGAGCUAAAGAAAUGGAUAAGCAAACGUUGUUCUCUCAGACAAAUGCCUCGAUUGUCCACACGGUGUAAUAGAAUGGAUUACAUCAGACUCGUCAUCUGUUUUCAUCAUCACAGAGAACAAUGGACAAACGAAAACAGCAAAAAAAAAACAUAAAUCUGGCUAACAUAACUAGAGGCAGUAAUUAGAUCUCAUAGAGCAAGCAAAUCUGGUCGAAAUAGCAGCGGUUCUCUCAGACAAAUUUGCCUCACUUUUGUCCCCACGGUUGAAUGGAAUGGAUUGGAUCGGACAUCUAAUCAGUGUUGAUCAUCACAGAGAACCACUAAUUACGCAAGCGAGCGGUAGCAACGGCGAGAACAAACCCUCGCUAAACACUAGCACAUGUCCAGAUCUACCUCGGUCGCGGAGCAGCUAACAACAGGGAAGGGAGAUGACGGGCAGUACGAACCUUGGCCCUCAUCGCGGCGGCGGAGUCGGUCUCGCUCUCCUGUUCGCGGCGGCGGCGGCGGCGGCGGUGUGUGGACGAACUUAGAUUGUUGACGGCGGGGGCUCUCGCCUCGUACUUAUACGGGCUGGGUGCUGAAGGGGGGGGGAAACCCUAGCGGGGUUGGACGGGUGGACGGCUCGGAUCAGCCAGUGAACGGCGUUCUGAUCCGAUUAGUAAUCUGGUUUGUGGGCCUGUUGGGCCUCCAAACAACGCCUAGGCCCACGCUAACAUUUGACUGGACUUGAUUUCCUGAAGGGGGGAAAAAGAAACUUGACCAGUCUUUACUUUUAUUCUCUUUAUUUUAUAUUACUUUAAAAAGAGUAGUGUUCCUUUUUCUGCCAGACGGAGUGAUUCGUCCAACAUUUUUUUAUAAUCACUAGCAAAAGGCCCGUGUGUUACAACGGGCCAUUGAUAUUUUAGUAUUUCAACACUGAUUGUGCACAUCAAACUGAAAUAUCUCCUUCUAUUGUUAAUUGCUAGUGAAAUAAUCGAGAGGAGAUAAUAUGCCUGAAUAGUGAAGUUGUGAGCAUAGCUUAUUUCUCCUUCUCCUUGACUCAUAUGCAUCAUUUGCUUGGGGGGCAAGCUUGUAGCAGAGUUAAACCCAAAAAAAAGUUGAAUACAAAUCAAGGGAUAUAGCAGCAUUCAACUAAAUUAGUAGUGGAGUAGAGAAGCCCUGGAGCAUAUAAAGUAAAUGAUACCUCUGACAAAGCAGGUUUAAGAAGUGGAUAGUAAGUUUGAAAACAUGAACAAUGCAUAGCAAGCUUUCGUACAUACAAAUUCCCUUGUAUUGAUGAAAACAUAAAUUCACCUAUAAAAAACUAACAAAUUUAGUUUGUAUAUAUACUCUUAGUACACAGUCGAGUCAACACAAACAAUUUGCCUAUGAAAGGAUCAAGUUGGAAUUCCAUUGCUCGAUGGGUGGACGGCUCGGAUCAGCCAGUGGACGGUGUUCUGAUCCGAUUAGUAAUCUGGUUUGUGGGCAUGUUGGGCCUCCAAACAACGCCUAGGCCCAUGCUAACAUUUGACUGGACUUGAUUUCCUGAAGGGGGAAAAAGAAACUUGACCAGUCUUUACUUUUAUUCUCUUUAUUUUAUUACUUAAAAAAGGGAAACGUUUCCUGCGGCGUGCCGGCGGAACGCUUGGCCAGUCGCGUACGCUUCGUUCGAUCGAAAGCGAUCAUGCGGCCCACGUGUGGCCUCACCCCCUCGGCCCCACAUGCUCCCUCUUCCUUAUCCCCAUAUGUUUUCUUUUCCUUAUCCCCUCAAGCACCACUCAUUUUUCUUGCUUAUCCCUCCAUGCCCACCAUUCAUCCCAUGCACCUCUCUCUCCCCCUGGCCUACCUUCAAUCAAUAGCUUGCCGGCGAUGGAAGACGUGUGUGGCGAGCUGGCAGUCCGGGGCUGCACACAUGAAGCCGCGGAGGUGCGUGAGCACGACUCUCGGCGAGCGAAGAGGCGCGACGCCAAAGCUACAUCGGCAACUUGGUAUUUCCACUUUGCAACCUGAUACGACGAGUGGAGGGUGGUUUGCUGCAACCAGUGGCCCCUACUACUACGACCAACGAGGUGGCUGUGCCGUGAAGAUGGACGACGGAUGCGGCGAUUUUUGUGCUGAAACCCACGAUAGCCUCUGCUACAACCGGCCAGCCAUUUUGCUGGAACCAGCAUCGGUAAUUGCUGCCAUCAGUCACGCGAUAUGCUGGAACCAAACGCGCACUCGUCGCCGGCGUUUUUUUUCUUUUGCUAGAGUUGGGUGUUUGAUUUUGCUGGAAGUAGCUAUCCUUUUUGCUACAAAUCGACCACACGAGUUCUCCCUGUUUUGUUGUUUCUGCUGUAUCCAAUGUCUUGUUUUGCUGGAAACAACCAUCUUUUUUGGUACAAAUCGACAACAGGAAUUCUACGUGUUUAGUUGUUUUUCUGCUGCAUCCGAUGUUUCGUUUUGCUGGAACCUAGUAUUUUUUUAUUCAACCGAUCAAUGAAGGAUUGUUGCUUUCAGAUCUUUUUGCUAGAUACUUCAGUGCAAACCGACGCCCACGGCGAGCCGAAACCAGAGCAUGGUGAUGAGCUGGAACCGGCGAGCUUGCUUUGCUGCAAUGAGCCGCAAGCUACUAUGAUCAGCAGGGCGAAGAGCUGGAACGGGCGUCCAUUUUUGCUGGGAUGGGCGCCCAAAUUUGCUGGAACAGGAGUCCCGGGUUGCUGCAUCGUUCGCCGCACAGGGGAGCUACGAUGUUGGCGAGCUGGAACCGGCGCCCAAUUUUGCUGGAGCCGGCAUCUCGACAUGCUGGAACCGUGUGAAGGCAGGCGGCGGCUGAAUGGCUGAUUCGACGCUGAUGGUGUUUUGCUGCGACCAGUGAUGGAAAAGCUUCAACCAUCGGGCGAGUUGUCGAUGGCGUGAGGGGUGACGCCGGGGUGCUGCGGCCGACAACACGGUCGGUGCUGCGCGUUCUACUACAACGAGGAGUCGACCACUAGUUGUUGCAUCCGGCCACGUUGACGCUGCCACCAGCUACAACGAGAAGAUGCCAUGGCGAGCUUCGCCGCCGACGGCCGGCAGCGAAGGUACUCGUGCGGGACGGUGAGCAGAAUUGCGCGCGGCUGCGGCCGCCCGCAAGGGAGAGCCGAUCUGGGCCUUCGUAGACUCUCGUGACAAACGAAACAGCAAGGAGGGACCGGCAGAUGGAGCGGUUAAGGUCACUUCAAUCGAGCGUUGCAUGAGGAACCGGCCGAAAUUUUGGGCCGGUCCGCCGGCGCCUAGUGCUGGCCCUUAAAAAAAAGUAGCGUUCCUUUUUCUGCCAGACGGAGUGAUUUGUCCAACAUGUUUUUCUUGGGAACCGCCUUAAUCAUCUCAUCUUUUUGGUUCAAAAAAAUCGUCUCAUCUUUUAUUGACUUAUCAAAUAAAUUAUAUUUUCUUUCAUAAGUCAAAAUAAGUGAUUACAAAAUAAAAUCAUGGGUAAGAUUUGUUAAGUAUUUUUUUACACAAUCACAUAACAUAAAGAUGUAAAUUAUGGGAUAAUGUAUUGUAAUAUAAUAUAUAAUAUUUAUGCCCCAUAGCGACACGGGCAAAUAUCUAGUUCUGCUAGCAAAAAGACUAAUUACAAAACAAUAAAACUGAGCUAGCUACACGCCACCACAGCGAUUCACCGCUUUUGGCCGUCCGAUCAUUUGUUAGACGCCCCAGAUCUUCCAAUUGUCCACUGGCGGUCGCUUGGUCAUUUUCACCGUGCCUCACCCAAUGUAAAAGGGCUGCUGCUCCGGAAAGCAACCUGUGGGUCAUGUAGUUAAUUGGGCCCAGAAGCAGCCCAAUUGGUUGUGUACGUCAGCCCAUGCUAGGUUUCCUUUCCACAUCGACAGAGAAAAGAAAAGAACAAUUCAUCCUUCUCCUCUUGUUCAUACCCACGGUGCAGGGUGUCUAAUUUCUCAUGUUCCUUUCGUGCUAGGAAGCUCGUGGGGAUUGACCAACUGUCAGUUUGUUGGAGUUUGAUCUGUCCCGAUGGGCGACAAACAUAUAGCUGACUGAAGGCACGAGUAUGGCCUAUGGACUAAAGGAUUUGUUCCUUUCCCUCGGUGGCAACAUCCUAUAUGGCAGUACCUUUUCGCCUCCUUUUACCAGCCGUAUAAUUCAGUGAGUCGUUAGUAACUGUUUUGAUUGGUUGUUAGUAUUCCGGCACUGCCUUAUAUAUGGAUAUUCAUUGUUGAUAUGUGUUACAUGGUGUGAUCCCGAUCGACUCCAAUAUGGACACCCAGGCACCACACCCAGGCUCAUGCAAAUGCUCAAAACAGCCCGGUAACGCCACCACUUGUUGAUCAAAACGUUGUCCUUCUGAGUACUGAUUAGGAUUACAUGCAACCUUCUUGCUGGAAAUACGCUUCUGAAAAAAGAUGCUAAGCUGGCCUGAUAAGAUUGGCAUUAGGCUUUUGCCGUAGGAUCCUGGAACUCUGAAUUCUAGGAACAGCACCUACCAGGUUACCUGAUGUAAUCCGUAUCCUUGCAUGAGGUUUGGAGUACGUGGUUUUUCAAUUUUUGUUGGACAGUUUUAGUCGAGUUAGGUGUGUUCAAGGAUUAGCUUUGGUUUUCCCAUUUUACUCGCUAAGAAAGGUAACUGAAAUUUUGUUUCUGCUCAAUUUCAUUAGGUUGCAAGAAAAUGACUGGUUGAAAUUGCUUUCCUAAACAAAGUAAUAGAUGUACAAUAUUGAUCAACAAAUGGGCAACAAGUCAACAACGACCCAGUAGAAAUUUUAUUGUGCUGAAUAGGGCCAAGUAUAUUAUCAAACCAUUGUUGGUAAGAGGAUAAUUUACUAUGAUUCAGUUGGCAAAGAGGCUCUGAUCUGCAGUUUAAAUGACGAAGAAAUACUGGAACAUGGGGAAGAGAAGCAUGUUUCACAAAAGAAGAAGAUCCGCUAAUAUGGUAAUAAUACAUCCUAGUUAAAUAGAUUGGUUUUUCUGUAUUACGUGCUCUUCUGUCGUGAACUGCAAUUGAUUACCACAACAUGCUAUGUUUUCAUCCGUUCAAGUCUGAAGAAUGGGUACUAUCUAUCAGUCUAUAUGUUUGAAUUUUUUUUCUAAUAUCUCUACUCCUAAUGAAGCAGUUGGUAGCCUGGUACUCCGGUUUUAUUUUCGUCCGGUUUUAUUUCGUCCCACCUCCCACCACUCCGUACUACUGGUUUUUUAUCUAUCUACAAAUCUCCCCUCCCACUGGUUUAAGCCGGUUAUCAAUUUUUGGUAAUGCAAUAAAAGUCAUACGGGAAUAAAUCAUAUCACGGUCGGCAGUUAAUCUCAAACCUGCCAAGAGAUUUGGUAACAGAAUAAAUUCAAAAGGAAGGGUGGGGGAAUGUUCCUAUACAUAAGGAUGGUAAUCUCCAUCGCAUACCAUUUACUCCAGAAUCAAUCGCAUUAAUAAUCUCCAUCGCAUAAAUAAUUACUCCAAAAUCAAUCACAAUCAUAAUCUACAUCGCAUAAUUAACUUCUUCCUAUGACCACCUCGCUCCACCAAUCCCACCUGCCGUUUUCUACCAUCACGAUCGAUUUUCUCGCGUCCUCUCCUACACGCACAAAAAUAUAGGCCCAGCCUCGACCGUGGGCUGGGACUCAUCCGUCGCGCACCGCCUGCUCUGCAACGACGCCCAACGCAACCUCUUCUUUGAUGCCCCCGCGCACCCCUCGCCGCCGCCACCAACGCCCUGCGCGUUCGCCUCUACGGCCUUGAUGAUUGCACCCGCUUUCGUGACGUCCUCGCGCUCAAGCGCCGCCGGCGCAUCCACGCCUGCGUCAGCCAUGCCGAGGAGGUUGAGGAGCCCCUCGAGCCGGCCCUUGCCCUCGCCUGCGUCAACGACCCCGCCCAUCUUGGCGGGGGCGAUUCCCCCAUCGCCCGACUCAUCUCCGACGAGUAUGGCAUCGGUGGGUACGCCGCGUCGUUCGUAUGCUUGGCAGGUUCCAGAACACCCCGCGACGUGUAUGAGGCUGCUAAGCUUGACCAUGGCGAGGGGCUCGUGCUCGAGCUCGACGAGACGCAAUUCGAUCUCGGAACCAACUACGAGCUGGAUGGUGAGACUGCAGAGCAGGCAGGGGGCGCGACGAAGAUGGAAGUGGCGGCAGUUCAAGCUUGUCGCUGCCGAAGACCCUAGAGAGGUGCGUGAAGAGACCUGGUUAGUUUUGUUGGGCCCCACUGGUAGAUGCUCCAUGUCUCCUCCUCUGGUUCCUUGUGCAUUAUUGGGUUGUCUUAAUUUUCAGUCAGGAACACGUAGCCGUGAAUUUUUUUGAUUAAUAUUGAUGUCAUCGUUACAUAUUGGUACCGGGUAGAUUUGAUGUAUUAUUGUUAAGCUCUCAAGACCAGGCCUGGUUUUACAGAUGUUUAGCGCACCGGUUCCUGUUCAUUUACAACACAGCCAUGCGAUCUAUUAAGUGAUGUUUCUCUGAAUUUAUGACAGGUAAACUGCGGUAAUAACAAAUCAGAUGUCAUCUCUCAUCUUGCCGAUUCAACCUUGGAAGAUAUGGUAGAGACGAGAGGCGGUUUGGUCCAUCUGGUGGAAGGGGGAGUGGAGAUAGUAGGAGUGGAAAGCAACUCAGUCCAUCCUGGCGGAAGGGAUAUAUAUAGGCUGACAUGUCAUCGGUGCUGGGCACCACAGGCAAGUGCUGUUUAGUUGAGUCCCAAUCACGAAUUAGAAAAAAAUUCUUUGGGUUCUUGGAUAGAUGCUUAUGGUUUGUUGCGUCAUUUUUCAGGUUCAAUAUGCUGGCUGGCGCCGAGCCUCACUACUGAGUUGAAGAACUACUUGCAACGGUUGCCAAAAGUUGUGUUAAAAAAAUAGGCCCACCUUCAUAAGGAUGAUGUAAAUUGCAGCCAUACUCAGGUUUAUUCUUUGUUCCCUGCAUAUUUUUAUUUAACCACGUUAUGUUUUAGCCACUAGAUGGAAAAUAGAAAAAGGAAACGGAGAGAAUCACUUAUUUUCGUGAUAUGAUAUUUAUUUAAUAGUGAUUGCUAUUUGUUUUGAAUAUUUAAGCAUAAGGAUACCACAAUUAAAUUAUGGUUACAACACGAAAGUUGUAGAGUAGUUAAUCUCUAUCUCUACUCCUAAAGGGGGAGUUGGUAGCCCGGUGCGCAGGUUUAUUUUCGCCUCACCGAUUUAUUCUCCCUCACCUCCCAGCAUCCCCUCCACGCUGGGUUUUCUCCGUCCGACUAAAAACCAAAUCAAUUUGCAUGAUCCUCCUUGUUUGUUUUUCGGCUAAUGUCCUCCUAUCCUAGAGCAUGUUCAUCUGACUAAUCUUCUUAGUUAAUGCCCUCCUUGCCUGGAUCAUGUUCAUCCGAUUGACAAAGGCUUGGCCAUCUUGUAAUAGUAGAUGGUGAAGUGGAUAUAUAUACUACUCCCUCCGUCCGAAAAUACUUGUCAUCAAAAUGAAUAUAAAGGGAUGUAUCUAGAACUAAAAUAUGUUUAGAUACAUCUCUUUUUAUCCAUUUUGAUAACAAGUAUUUCCGGACAGAGGGAGUGCUUCAGUUUGCAUGAGAACAACCGCUUAUAUGUGUGCCUCAAUAGUAAAGUAGGAUUGCUUGGAUUAUUUUCUGUAGUAUUUUUUCCAGUUUUAAAUGUUUAGUUUCUUAACUUAUUAUGAGGCUUGCAUCGAUCAAAGAAAUCAUGCUCCCUUGGCUUAAUCAAAUGUACUUAUGUUUGCUAAUUUAUUUUUAGUGUGUGUUUCCUCCUACUAUCUUAUUAUUCUAUAGCUAACUAUAUUUUGGAAUCUGGUGGGUGCAAAGAAAAUGGCAGUUUCUAGAUUUCUGUAGUAUUUCUGGGUAACAACAGGUUCCAAAGUGACGGGCAUUGCUAAAUCAGAUAACAUACUAUUCAAAAAGAGAACACAUUCAUCCCUUCAUUUUAGAGAUUCAAUAAAGCAAGCAAAACUUGGAAUCCAAGUCAGAAUACCAACUAUUGUACUACUGAAUGCACAUUUAUUUGCCGACAUGAAACUAUCUAUCACAUGUAGGUGUGUUUGCUCCUCGGAGCAUAGCAAAAUGAUAUGCUCUUACAUAAACAUUAUCUUGCUUACAGUGUUAAUUCAAAGCCUUAAUUCAAGGUCGGAUCUUGCUUACAAUGUCAAUAUAAUCGCUUUUAAUCUCUUUCAAGAUUAAUAAACUGCACAUGCAUGGCACGCAAAUAGGACAAACUUGACUAGAUCUACACAUAUAUUUUUAUCACUUCUAAUAUCUCAUCGACUGUUUACAUGCCAUAUUGCAUACCAAGAAUACAAGAGUGCUGACUUUAUUUUAUUUUAUUUUAUUUUAUUUUAUUUUAUUUCUGAAAUAGUUCCCAAUUAGGCUUACAAUUAUUUUAUAUUAGUGUUACUUCCUUUGUCAAGCUUAUGAAGAAUGUAUUUCCUUGAACAGUAUUUCAUCCAUUUGGAUUUAGGUGACAUGUGUGGUGGCACGAGAAAAUGGAAGGCCCUAAGCUGAAGGAGAGCAUCAAUUGACAUGAGUGAUAAGCAAUAUCUAUUAGAAACACAUACUAUCAGGCUAAUGCAAACCACUUGGGUAUGAAGUAUACUUACCACAACUUUCUAGGUGUUGAUCAACUUGUGUUUUCUUGUUAGUAAAAGAAACAUGUUGUUUUUUUGUGGUUCAUGGAUUCAUGCUCAAUGUUGAAUUAUUAUCUGAUCUGCAGAAGCAUGUCUUACUGCUGCUCAAGGUCACAUGAUUUAUAAUUUAUAACUACAAUUAUUUAAAUCAGUAUCUUGCACGAAGUCCUGACAUCUGGCUUUAUCAAAGAUUCCACUAUGUUUAUUUCUCCAUCAUAUCGCACAAUGAAUAAUAACAGUAGAUAGAUAUCCCCUUUUUAUGCAAUGAAUUUCAUGAAAUAAAACAGCGUCCAUCACCGUCUCUGAUGUAAUCUUAAGUGCACAUGCAUGGCUUAAUGUCACUGCUAUCUCGUAGUUUCACAUGCUAUUCAAGUUUACGGCAUACAGUACUUAACAUAUAAGUUGUGUCAUAGUAUUAGUGUCAUCUUUGGCUGCUUCCUUUCUUGAAUUUUCCGAUGACAGUGUACAUGCCUUAACAUAUUCGAAGUUGUUGAUUUUUUUGUUGCAAAUAUAAUAUUUAGUAAUUUAACGUGAGCCCUUGCAGGUCCAAUUAAAGCUAUUUGACCAGAAGCUAGGUGAUAUGUGCUCAAAAGAAUCUACCCUGUUAUGCACCAGUUUUUUGCCUUAACAUUGUUUCUGCAAUUACACUAUAUAUCUUGUAUUAACUGGAUUUUUAAGAUGACGAUUAAGGAAUUCAUCUACAAUUAGGAACUUACUUCGCGACAAGGAAGGUCCAGUGGUUGGGCAACAACAUGUGGAAGGAUAAUUACUGGAUACAUUUUUUUAGCGAACAACAGCGGAGCGAUUUGAUGUCUCAAAACAUGUAAGCUGACUUGCCCUCCAUGGAAUGGAAUGACUACAAAAACUUUUGUCAUUUCAUCUAAGAAUAUUUUAAAUUAGUUAAUAAAUCAUACAGACUUGAUAUUUUCUUGGUCUCAUGCAACUAUGUGUGGUUUCUUACUUUACUCCACAAUCAUCUGUGGCAAUUAUGAGGUAUUUUUCGCCAUUCGUAUUUAUUCCUUAAUUUUACUAUGAAUAUAUGAGAGUACACACCAAGGGGUUCGCAAAAAGUACAAAAAAACUAGGAGACAAGCACGAGUCACCUUAUGAGGUGAUGAUGUAGGAGACACAAUGAGGUGAAAGAGACGUGAUGGACAUAGAAGAGUAAACCCACGAGGAUAAAGAGAUGUCAUGCACAUAGAAGGAGGAAGCGAGGACCUCGAUCCACAUUAUCAAAGACAUAGAUAAGAACAAGAGUAUCACACUUCCCACAUCGACCAACUAAUGACACAUGUUGCUAUUGGGGCAUAUCACCCUCCCUUGCAUUAUACAUAUUAAUAUUAAGAUGAAACACUUCGUUGAAUGCAUUUCUAUUAUAUUGUUCUAUGGCAACACCCGAGCAUUCUGCUAGAAAGGAUGCUCGGGUGUAGACAGAAUCAUAUAUUAUAUCAUUAUUAGUAUCAACAUGUUUCUAAAUGUUUUCAUACUCAGUAUAUGAUGUUAGAUUCAACAUGAGAUCUAAAGUUUUGUGUGAAGCCAAAUAUGCAGGUGUUAGCAAUACUGUUUGAUAGCUUGGGGGUACGAUGUGGCAAACGCGCAACGGCUGGCUAGCUGUGUUGGAGAGCAAGAGAUGUCCAGCGAGAAACAUCCCACUACAUGUUGGGGAAUGUAGUAAUUUCAAAAAAUUUCCUACGCACACGCAAGAUCAUGGUGAUGCAUAGCAACGAGAAGGGAGAGUGUUGUCUACGUACCCACGCAGACCGACUGCGGAAGCAUUGACACAACAUAGAGGAAGUAGUCGUACGUCUUCCCGAUCCGACCGAUCCAAGCACCGUUACUCCGGCACCUCCGAGUUCUUAGCACACGUACAGCUCGAUGACGAUCCCCGGGCUCCGAUCCAGCAAAGCGUCGGGGAAGAGUUCCGUCAGCACGACGGCGUGGUGAUGAUCUUGAUGUUCUACCGACGCAGGGCUUCGCCUAAGCACUACAACGAUAUGAUCGAGGUGGAAUAUGGUGGCAGGGGGCACCGCACACGGCUAAGAAAUGAUCUCAAGGAUCAACUUGUGUGUCUAGAGGUGCCCCCCUGCCCCUGUAUAUAAAGGAGCCAAGGAGGAGGGGCUGGCUGGCCAAGGAGGGUGCGCCAGGAGAGUCCUACUCCCUCUGGGAAUAGGAUUCCCCCCCAAUCCUAGUUGGAAUAGGAUUCCUUAAGGGGGGGAAAGGAGAGGGGGGGCCGGCCACCUCUUCUAGUCCUAAUAGGACUAGGGGAGGGGGGAGGCGCGCGGCCACCUUGGGCUGCCCCUUUCUUCUUUCCACUAAAGCCCAUUAAGGCCCAUAUAGCUCCCGGGGGGUUCCGGUAACCUCCCGGUACUCCGGUAAAAUCCUGAUUUCACCCGGAACACUUCCGAUAUCCAAACAUAGGCUUUCAAUAUAUCAAUCUUUAUGUCUCGACCAUUUCAAGACUCCUCGUCAUGUCCGUGAUCACAUUCGGGACUCCGAACUAACUUCGGUACAUCAAAAUGCAUAAACUCAUAAUAACUGUCAUCGUAACGUUAAGCGUGCGGACCCUACAGUUCGAGAAUAAUGUAGACAUGACUGAGACACAUCUCCAGUCAAUAACCAAUAGCGGGACCUGGAUGCCCAUAUUGGCUCCUACAUAUUCUACGAAGAUCUUUAUCGGUCAGACCGCAUAACAACAUACGUUGUUCCCUUUGUCAUCGAUAUGUUACUUGCCCGAGAUUCGAUCGUCGGUAUCCAAUACCUAGUUCAAUCUCGUUACCGGCAAGUCCCUUUACUCGUUCUGUAAUACAUCAUCCCGCAACUAACUCAUUAGUUGCAAUGCUUGCAAGGCUUAUGUGAUGUGCAUUACCGAGAGGGCCCAGAGAUACCUCUCCGACAAUCGGAGUGACAAAUCCUAAUCUCGAAAUACGCCAACCCAACAUCUACCUUUGGAGACACCUGUAGAGCUCCUUUAUAAUCACCCAUUUACGUUGUGACGUUUGGUAGCACAGAAAGUAUUCCUCCGGCAAACGGGAGUUGCAUAAUCUCAUAGUCAUAGGAACAUGUAUAAGUCAUGAAGAAAGCAAUAGCAACAUACUAAACGAUCGGGUGCUAAGCUAAUGGAAUGGGUCAUGUCAAUCAGAUCAUUCAACUAAUGAUGUGACCUCGUUAAUCAAAUAACAACUCUUUGUUCAUGGUUAGCAAACAUAACCAUCUUUGAUUAACGAGCUAGUCAAGUAGAGGCAUACUAGUGACACUCUGUUUGUCUAUGUAUUCACACAUGUAUUAUGUUUUCGGUUAAUACAAUUCUAGCAUGAAUAAUAAACAUUUAUCAUGAUAUAAGGAAAUAAAUAAUAACUUUAUUAUUGCCUCUAGGGCAUAUUUCCGUCAGUCUCCCACUUGCACUAGAGUCAAUAAUCUAGAUUACACUGUAAUGAUUCUAACACCCAUGGAGUCUUGGUGUUGAUCAUGUUUUGCUCGUGGAAGAGGCUUAGUCAACGAGUCUGCAACAUUCAGAUCUGUAUGUAUCUUGCAAAUCUCUAUGUCUCCCACCUGGACUAGAUUCCGGAUGGAAUUGAAGCGUCUCUUGAUGUGCUUGGUCCUUUUGUGAAAUCUGGAUUCCUUUGCCAAGGCAAUUGCACCAGUAUUGUCACAAAAGAUUUUCAUUGGACCCGAUGCACUAGGUAUGACACCUAGAUCGGAUAUGAACUCCUUCAUCCAGACUCCUUCGUUCGCUGCUUCCGAAGCAGCUAUGUACUCCGCUUCACAUGUAGAUCCCGCUAUGACGCUUUGUUUAGAACUGCACCAACUGACAGCUCCACCGUUUAAUGUAAACACGUAUCCGGUUUGCGAUUUAGAAUCGUCCGGAUUAGUGUCAAAGCUUGCAUCAACGUAACCUUUUACGGUGAGCUCUUUGUCACCUCCAUAUACGAUAAACAUAUCCUUAGUCCUUUUCAGGUAUUUCAGGAUGUUCUUGACCGCUGUCCAGUGAUCCACUCCUAGAUUACUUUGAUACCUUCCUCCUAGACUUAUAGCAAGGCACACAUCAGGUCUGGUACACAGCAUUGCAUACAUGAUAGAGCCUAUGGCUGAAGCAUAGGGAACAUCUUUCAUUUUCUCUCUAUCUUCUGCAGUGGUCGGGCAUUGAGUCUGACUCAACUUCACACCUUGUAACAUAGGCAAGAACCCUUUCUUUGCUUGAUCCAUUUUGAACUUCUUCAAAAUCUUGUCAAGGUAUGUGCUUUGUGAAAGUCCAAUUAAGCGUCUUGAUCUAUCUUUAUAGAUCUUUAUGCCUAAUAUGUAAGCAGCUUCACCGAGGUCUUUCAUUGAAAAACUCUUAUUCAAGUAUCCCUUUAUGCUAUCCAGAAAUUCUAUAUCAUUUCCAAUCAGUAAUAUGUCAUCCACAUAUAAUAUCAGAAAUGCUACAGAGCUCCCACCCACUUUCUUGUAAAUACAGGCUUCUCCGAAAGUCUGUAUAAAACCAAAUGCUUUGAUCACACUAUCAAAGCGUUUAUUCCAACUCCGAGAGGCUUGCACCAGUCCAUAAAUGGAUCGCUGGAGCUUGCACACUUUGUUAGCUCCUUUUGGAUUGACAAAACCUUCCAGUUGCAUCAUAUACAACUCUUCUUCCAGAAAUCCAUUCAGGAAUGCAGUUUUGACAUCCAUCUGCCAAAUUUCAUAAUCAUAAAAUGCGGCAAUUGCUAACAUGAUUCGGACAGACUUAAGCAUCGCUACGGGUGAGAAGGUCUCAUCGUAGUCAACCCCUUGAACUUGUCGAAAACCUUUUGCGACAAGUCGAGCUUUGUAGACAGUAACAUUACCAUCAGCGUCAGUCUUCUUCUUGAAGAUCCAUUUAUUCCCAAUUGCUUGCCGAUCAUCGGGCAAGUCAACCAAAGUCCAUACUUUAUUCUCAUACAUGGAUCCCAUCUCAGAUUUCAUGGCUUCAAGCCACUUUGCGGAAUCUGGGCUUACCAUCGCUUCUUCAUAGUUUGUAGGUUCAUCAUGAUCUAGCAGCAUGAUUUCCAGAACAGGAUUACCGUACCACUCUGGUGCGGAUCUCGCUCUGGUUUAUCUACGAGGUUCAGUAGUAUCUUGUCCUGAAGUUUCAUGAUCAUCAUCAUUAGCUUCCUCACUAAUUGGUAUAGGUGUCGCAGAAACAGUUUUCUGUGAUGUACUACUUUCCAAUAAGGGAGCAGGUACAGUUACCUCGUCAAGUUCUACUUUCCUCCCACUCACUUCUUUCGAGAGAAACUCUUUCUAUAGAAAGGAUCCAUUCUUAGCAACGAAUAUCUUGCCUUCGGAUCUGUGAUAGAAGGUGUACCCAACAGUCUCCUUUGGGUAUCCUAUGAAGACACAUUUCUCCAAUUUGGGUUCGAGCUUAUCAGGUUGAAGCUUUUUCACAUAAGCAUCGCAGCCCCAAACUUUAAGAAACGACAACUUUGGUUUCUUGCCAAACCACAGUUCAUAAGGCGUCGUCUCAACGGAUUUUGAUGGUGCCCUAUUUAACGUGAAUGCGGCCGUCUCUAAAGCAUAACCCCAAAACGAUAGUGGUAAAUCAGUAAGAGACAUCAUAGAUCGCACCAUAUCUAGUAAAGUACGAUUACGACGUUCGGACACACCAUUACGCUGUGGUGUUCCGGGUGGCAUGAGUUGCGAAACUAUUCCACAAUUUUUCAAAUGUACACCAAACUCGUAACUCAAAUAUUCUCCUCCACGAUCAGAUCGUAGAAACUUUAUUUUCUUGUUACGAUGAUUUUCAACUUCACUCUGAAAUUCUUUGAACUUUUCAAAUGUUUCAGACUUGUGUUUCAUCAAGUAGAUAUACCCAUAUCUGCUUAAAUCAUCUGUGAAGGUGAGAAAAUAACGAUAUCCGCCACGAGCCUCAAUAUUCAUCGGACCACAUACAUCGGUAUGUAUGAUUUCCAACAAAUCUGUUGCUCUCUCCAUAGUACCGGAGAACGGUGUUUUAGUCAUCUUGCCUAUGAGGCAUGGUUCGCAAGUACCAAGUGAUUCAUAAUCAAGUGGUUCCAAAAGUCCAUCAGUAUGGAGUUUCUUCAUGCGCUUUAUACCGAUAUGACCUAAAACGGCAGUGCCACAAAUAAGUUGCACUAUCAUUAUCAACUCUGCAUCUUUUGGCUUCAACAUUAUGAAUAUGUGUGUUACUACUAUCGAGAUUCAUCAAAAAUAGACCACUCUUCAAAGGUGCAUGACCAUAAAAGAUAUUACUCAUAUAAAUAGAACAACCAUUAUUCUUUGAUUUAAAUGAAUAACCGUCUCGCAUCAAACAAGAUCCAGAUAUAAUGUUCAUGCUCAAUGCUGGCACCAAAUAACAAUUAUUUAGGUCUAAUAUUAAUCCCGAAGGUAGAUGUAGAGGUAGCGUGCCGACCGCGAUCACAUCGACUUUGGAACCGUUUCCCACGCGCAUCGUCACCUCGUCCUUUGUCAGUGUUUGCUUAAUCCGUAGUCCCUGUUUCGAGUUGCAAAUAUUAGCAACAGAACCAGUAUCAAAUACCCAGGUGCUACUGCAAGCUCUAGUAAGGUACACAUCAAUAACAUAUAUAUCACAUAUACCUUUGUUCACCUUGCCAUCCUUCUUAUCCGCCAAAUACUUGGGGUAGUUCCGCUUCCAGUGACCAGUCUGCUUGCAGUAGAAACACUCAGUUUCAGGCUUAGGUCCAGACUUGGGUUUCUUCUCCUGAGCAGCAACUUGCUUACUGUUCUUCUUGAAGUUCCCCUUCUUCUUCCCUUUACCCUUUUUCUUGAAACUAGUGGUCUUGUUAACCAUCAACACUUGAUGCUCCUUCUUGAUUUCUACCUCCGCAGCUUUCAGCAUUGCGAAGAUCUCGGGAGUAGUCUUGUUCAUCCCUUGCAUAUUAUAGUUCAUCACAAAGCUCUUGUAGCUUGGUGGCAGUGAUUGGAGAAUUCUGUCAAUGAUGCAAUCAUCUGGAAGAUUAACUCCCAUCUGAAUCAAGUGAUUAUUAUACCCAGACAUUUUGAGUAUAUGCUCACUGACAGAACUGUUCUCCUCCAUCUUGCAGCUAUAGAACUUAUUGGAGACUUCAUAUCUCUCAAUCCGGGCAUUUGCUUGAAAUAUUAACUUCAACUCCUGGAACAUCUCAUAUGCUCCAUGACGUUCAAAACGUCGUUGAAGUCCCGAUUCUAAGCCGUAAAGCAUGGCACACUGAACUAUCGAGUAGUCAUCAGCUUUGCUCUGCCAGACGUUCAUAACAUCAGGUAUUGCUCCAGCAGCAGGCCUGGCACCCAGCGGUGCUUCCAGGACGUAAUUCUUCUGAGCAGCAAUGAGGAUAAUCCUCAAGUUACGGACCCAGUCCGUGUAAUUGCUACCAUCAUCUUUCAACUUUGCUUUCUCAAGGAAUGCAUUAAAAUUCAACGGGACAACAGCACGAGCCAUCUAUCUACAAUCAACAUAAACAAGCAAGAUACUAUCAGGUACUAAGUUCAUGAUAAGUUUAAGUUCAAUUAAUCAAAUUACUUAAGAACUCCCACUUAGAUAGACAUCCCUCUAAUCCUCUAAGUGAUCACGUGAUCCAAAUCAACUAAACCAUAACCGAUCAUCACGUGAGAUGGAGUAGUUUUCAAUGGUGAACAUCGUUAUGUUGAUCAUAUCUACUAUAUGAUUCACGUUAGACCUUUCGGUCUCCGUGUUCCGAGGCCAUAUCUGCAUAUGCUAGGCUCGUCAAGUUUAACCUUAGUAUUCUGCGUGUGCAAAAACUGGCUUGCACCCGUUGUAGAUGGACGUAGAGCUUAUCAUACCCAAUCAUCACGUGGUGUCUGGGCACGACGAACUUUGGCAACGGUGCAUACUCAGGGAGAACACUUCUUGAUAAUUUAGUGAGAGAUCAUCUUAUAAUGCUACCGUCAAUCAAAGCAAGAUAAGAUGCAUAAAAAGAUAAACAUCACAUGCAAUCAAUAUAAGUGAUAUGAUAUGGCCAUCAUCAUCUUGUGCUUGUGAUCUCCAUCUCCGAAGCAUCGUCAUGAUCACCAUCGUCACCGGCGCGACACCUUGAUCUCCAUCGUAGCAUCGUUGUCGUCUCGCCAAUCUUAUGCUUCUACGACUAUCGCUACCGUUUAGUGAUAAAGUAAAGCAUUACAUCGCGAUUGCAUUGCAUACAAUAAAGCGACAACCAUAUGGCUCCUGCCAGUUGCCGAUAACUUGGUUACAAAACAUGAUCAUCUCAUACAAUAAAAUUUAGCAUCAUGUCUUGGCCAUAUCACAUCACAACAUGCCCUGCAAAAACAAGUUAGACGUCCUCUACUUUGUUGUUGCAAGUUUUACGUGGCUGCUACGGGCUUAAGCAAGAACCAAUCUCACCUACGCAUCAAAACCACAACGAUAGUUUGUCAAAUAGACUCCGUUUUAACCUUCGCAAGGACCGGGCGUAGCCACACUCGGUUCAACUAAAGUUGGAGAGACAGUCGCCCGCAAGCCACCUAUGUGCAAAGCACGUCGGGGAAACCGGUCUCGCGUAAGCGUACGCGUAAUGUUGGUCCGGGUCGUCUCGUCCAACAAUACCGUUGAACCAAAGUAUGACAUGGCAGUAUGACUUAUAUCGCCCACAACUCACUUGUGUUCUACUCGUGCAAAUAACAUCAAACCAUAAAACCUAGGCUCGGAUGCCACUAUUGGGGAACAUAGUAAUUUCAAAAAAAUUCCUAUGCACACGCAAGAUCAUGGUGAUGCAUAGCAACGAGAAGGGAGAGUGUUGUCUACGUACCCACGCAGACCGACUGCGGAAGCAUUGACACAACAUAGAGGAAGUAGUCGUACGUCUUCCCGAUCCGACCGAUCCAAGCACCGUUACUCCGGCACCUCCGAGUUCUUAGCACACGUACAGCUCGAUGACGAUUCCCGGGCUCCGAUCCAGCAAAGCGUCGGGGAAGAGUUCCGUCAGCACGACGGCGUGGUGACGAUCUUGAUGUUCUACCGACGCAGGGCUUCGCCUAAGCACUACAACGAUAUGAUCGAGGUGGAAUAUGGUGGCAGGAGGCACCGCACACAGCUAAGGAACGAUCUCAAGGAUCAACUUGUGUAUCUAGAGGUGCCCCCCUGCCCCUGUAUAUAAAGGAGCCAAGGGGGAGGGGCUGGCUGGCCAAGGAGGGUGCGCCAGGAGAGUCCUACUCCCUCUGGGAGUAGGAUUCCCCCCCCCCCCCAAUCCUAGUUGGAAUAGGAUUCCUUAAGGGGGGGGGAAGAGAGAGAGGGGGGCCGGCCACCUCUCCUAGUCCUAAUAGGACUAGGGGAGGGGGGAGGCGCGCGGCCACCUUGGGCUGCCCCUUUCUUCUUUCCACUAAAGCCCACUAAGGCCCAUAUAGCUCCCGGGGGGUUCCGGUAACCUCCCGGUACUCCGGUAAAAUCCCGAUUUCAUCCGGAACACUUCCGAUAUCCAAACAUAGGCUUCCAAUAUAUCAAUCUUUAUGUCUCGACCAUUUUGAGACUCGUCGUCAUGUCCGUGAUCACAUCCGGGACUCCGAACUAACUUCGGUACAUCAAAAUGCAUAAACUCAUAAUAACUGUCAUCGUAACGUUAAGCGUGCGGACCCUACGGUUCAAGAAUAAUGUAGACAUGACUGAGACACAUCUCCGGUCAAUAACCAAUAGUGGGACCUGGAUGCCCAUAUUGGCUCCUACAUAUUCUACGAAGAUCUUUAUCGGUCAGACCGCAUAACAACAUGCGUUGUUCCCUUUGUCAUCGGUAUGUUACUUGCCCGAGAUUCGAUCGUCGGUAUCCAAUACCUAGUUCAAUCUCGUUACCGGCAAGUCUCUUUACUCGUUCUGUAAUACAUCAUCCCGCAACUAACUCAUUAGUUGCAAUGCUUGCAAGGCUUGUGUGAUGUGCAUUACCGAGAGGGCCCAGAGAUACCUCUCCGACAAUCGGAGUGACAAAUCCUAAUCUUGAAAUACGCCAACCCAACAUCUACCUUUGGAGACACCUGUAGAGCUUCUUUAUAAUCACCCAUUUACGUUGUGACGUUUGGUAGCACAGAAAGUAUUCCUCCGGCAAACGGGAGUUGCAUAAUCUCAUAGUCAUAGGAACAUGUAUAAUUCAUGAAGAAAGCAAUAGCAACAUACUAAACGAUCGGGUGCUAAGCUAAUGGAAUGGGUCAUGUCAAUCAGAUCAUUCAACUAAUGAUGUGACCUCGUUAAUCAAAUAACAACUCUUUGUUCAUGGUUAGCAAACAUAACCAUCUUUGAUUAACGAGCUAGUCAAGUAGAGGCAUACUAGUGACACUCUGUUUGUCUAUGUAUUCACACAUGUAUUAUGUUUCCGGUUAAUACAAUUCUAGCAUGAAUAAUAAACAUUUAUCAUGAUAUAAGGAAAUAAAUAAUAACUUUAUUAUUGCCUCUAGGGCAUAUUUCCUUCACUACAAUGGGAAACCGAGCGGGAAGGGGAGAGUCAGAUAGGAAAACCGAAGUUUUUGUCGUGGGAUGGGGGUUUUGUGUUGCGCCCUUGGGUUGGAGAUAACAAAUGGCGGAUAGUCCGGACAAUGACAUUUCUCCCCCACAUAUGAUCUGGAUUUCGGAAAGUCUGGACUGUCCAGACGGUUGAAUUUUGGGGAGCCCAUUGGGCACCGGACGUAUGAGGAAGAAAUGAGUUUCGAAUUUAAAGACGACUUUAAUCAUUUAUUUAAUUCAUUUAUGUGUGUUGUAGCCCGUAGCAACGCACGGGCAUUCUACUAGUAUAAGUUAUAACUCUGCUAUACUGCCAAUUUCUUGCAUGCUCAUAUGUAUGUUGUAUGGCAUUUAAUUUCUUUUGGUGGUCCUUUCCCUCUUUGAAUUGAAUGCCAACAUAGUAGAACAUGUACUGCAUAAGGUUCAGCAGGCUGGGUCUAACAAGGUAAAUCAUUAUUUCUCAUGCGGAAGUUUGCAGGAUUAUGCACACACAUUGUUUCGUUUCGUUGACCAUAGAACAUGAUUUGCUCUUUAUUUUCUCUCCUAUGCCUAAGGCUUUGAGCUCCUUCGAAAUCAUUACUAUAAUGAAAAGGAUGAGAAGUGAGUCCUUUAGACAUGGAACACACAUAAGUUCUUUGAAGAUCAUUUUAUUUGGGAUGUCAAUAACAGUUCUACCAAUUUGCAUCAAUUGUUUAUAUGCUAUACAAACCAUCACUUGGCCCUCUAUUGUCAUUAAUCAGAUGCACGGAAUUUGUGAAUAUAUAAAUAUUCUGGCUGAAGAUAGAACCAACUUGUGAUGGUUCCAUGUGGUACAUAUAACUGAAAUUGGUCAGAUGUUUCUAUAUUUCUUUCGUUAAGACAUCUUUUUUCCUUUGUUAAGAUGUGUCUAAGAUGGGCGGGCGCCGCAACGCGCGCCUUUAUGAUCUAGUACAGCGUGAUGGCGCUGGUGCGCAACUGUUGGUGCAGCACAUUCACCAUUAAUUAUAUUGUUUUUAACACAGUAUAAACGUAAGUGCUCAUAUAUUUAUACGCGCAUAUAUUCACCCCUUGUGAAUGCACGUACGCACACUCUAUCCCUAUGAGCACCUCUGAAAGACUGAGUUAGUAUAUUAUCUAAAUUUUACAAAGUCACCAUAGGCGCCUAUCCGGGAUAAAUGCAAGCAUCAUGACUUGAAUUCUGAUGGGCUGGGGAUAUCACUGUGCUCCUAACCAUUCAACCACAUAUUGGUUCACCGGGACUAAUCAUACCGGUGUAGCCAAGUCUUAUUUAAAAACUAUGGACCAAACUUCAUCCCAUAUAGUUGAACAACACUAGGGGUAGAAACGGAUCGGAUGCGGAUCGGAUAGUGCUCUUGCCACUUCCAUUUUCAUAUUUUCAAAACGAAUACGAAUUCGAAUACGGAUGUUAUCGGAUACGGAUGCGGCUCGGAUAUUAUUCAAAUACGGAUACGUAUCGGAUAUUUUCUUGAUUCGGAACGGAUACGAAUAAUAUCAACAUAUUGCUUAAGUAAAUCAGUCGAUAGCUAUGUGAACUGAAAUAAUCAACUUGUGACAUACAAUAAGUCAAUGAUAAAUAGGUUUAUGAAUAAAUACUAUUGUAAUGCAUAAUAAUUUAUAAGUUUAAUCAUAUAAAGAGUAAAAUUUGACCACUUAUUUGGCUUUUAUGUUGGAUAAUUGGAAUAUUGAGUCUAGAAAUUUGAAAAUUACCUCCCAUAAUCUUAUUCGGAUACGGAUAUAUCCACUUUCAUAUCCAUGUUUGUCUCAAAAUCUCCUACCAUAUUUUAUUUUUUAUUUGUUUAAUAAAUUCGGAUACGGAUAAUUUCCAUUUCCAUUUUGGUUCGGAUGCGGAUGUUUCGGAUACAAAUAGGCAUUUUCUCGAAUACGAAUAUCGGAUAUUUCGGAUUAUCCGCUAUCAAUUUCCACCCCUAAACAACACGCUGUUGCGGUCUGAUGUAGUUGCUACUCAUUUGUUUCUAAAGUAACUUGUAAUCAACUACUUCUUCCGUUUUGAAAUAGAUGACUCAACUUUAUACAAAGUUAGUAUAAAGUUGAGUCAUCUAUUUUGGAACGGAGGGAGUACUUCUGAUGAGAACAAAUCAAUAAAGUACCUUGUAAUCAAACUACUGAGAUAAUUUGUACCUUCUCUCCGUACCCAUGUAUAAUCAAGUAGCCUCUUAAUGUACUUUUCCUUUUUCUUCUUUGAAGCAAGUUUAUGAAGAAAAGAAUGAUGUAUUCUGAUCUCCAUGAAGCAACCAAUUAGCUCGUCCUCUCUAUAAAAACAAUUCUUCAUGAUACCGAAGAUUCUCAAUAUCUAGCCUAACAAAAAGAAGGUUAUCAAUAUUUGAAGAUCUUUUUUAUCCCUAAUCUCCCCGUCAGAUCACUUUGUCUCCAUUUCUGAAGGUCUUUUUUUAGCUUCGAUAUCCUCUUAUUUGGGCCUUUCAGAACCUCCAGAUCCCUCUGGUGUAGAUCUUUAUGAACAGCCUUGGUACAAUCAGGCAAGGGUGGCCUAGCUUGCUGGAUCCCAAGCCAAUUGGACUACCGCAUUGACGGUUUCUUCACACAACCAACGGGCUUCAAACUAUUUUCGGGCCUUCGAUUGUUGAGACAAAACAAAUUUUAAAAAAAUAUGAAGGAAAAUAGAUCAAUGGUCUGAAUGGACACGGUGCUCAUGAACCAACGCAUAUGGCAAUUUAUCCGCACACGCCUCAUUACUUGGUGAUGCCCUGGCUCCAGGUAAACUGAUCACCAAUAACAGUGGUCUGUUGAAGUCCACACAACCUCUGAAAUUAUGCAUCAAUUGUUGAGGUCGAACAUUACCACCCUCCUUCUCACUUGCAACCAAUCUCUCAUUAAAAUCACAGUAACUAACCAUGGACCAGCCGCAUUCCGUUGCGCGAGUAUGUCCAGGACAGGUGCUUCCUAUCCCAAGUUGGUUGUCCAUAAUAUCCUGUCAAGCGCCAUGAAGCAUCAUUUUCACCCAUAACAAUUGCAUCAAUAAAUUUUUCUAAAGAAUAGUUCAACACCACUUUAUUAGAUUGGUUAUAAAAAAGGACAAGGUUCCCCGAGCGACCAUCACUCUUUUUUUUUCAAGAAACUUCCAAUCUAUUUAUCGUCAAUCAUGGUGGUACAACAAACACCAGAAAUAAUAAAAAUUACAUCGAGAUAUGUAGACCACCUAGCGACGACUACAAGCACUGAAGCGAGCCGAAUGCGCGCAGUCGUCAUUGCCCCUCCCACACACGCAUACCUUACCACUAUGAGUACCUCCGACAAACUGAGGCGGCAUAUCAUCUUGAGAUGGACGAAGUCACCAAAGGCGUCUCGUAGUCGACGGGAACGUCUCCUCCCAUUAAACGCGCAUCGCAGAAAAUCCUGAAAUAAAUUCAGCAAUAAAUGUGAGCAAAAGGAUAUGAACUCUGGUGGACUGGGGAUACCACUGUCCACCUAACCAUUCAACCACAGAUUGGUAUUGCUAUGUACAAUUUGGGGUCAUGAUGACCGGAUAGCAGAUUGUGGAGCUUGUAUUUUUUUGUUUCUAUAAUAGCCGCAUGACCUGAAAGGUUUCUUUCCAUCCGGGGCAAUUAUCGUGUCAGUUAAUGGGGGGUGGGGGUGGAUAAACUGGUCACACGAUGCAUAGUUUUAACUUUCUACACCGUGAUAAAAUAAAAGGAAAUGAUUUUCUUCACCUGGCCUAUCCAUCGCGGGGCAUCCGCCGCCUCUAGUGUGCAGACGCGUGUCCUAUGUGGACCCUAUGCGUCGCUCUAUAUUUUUUCUUAUUCCCACCCAUGGUUGACCUUUGUUGAAGAAAAAGCUACAACAAGACCUCUGUUGCAAAAGUUUAUAUAUGCAGAAGACCUCUAUUUUUGCAAAAAAAAAAAGGAUUCUACAACAUGACCUAUGUUGCAAUGAUAGGCAAUAAAGAAAAAGAACAAAAGAUUAAACAAUUUGCAACAACUCUCUUGUUGCAGAAGGCAAAGCACAAUAAGGCUCAUGUUAGAUAGAUCGGAGGAAGAGAAAAAUGGUUUGAGGCUUUUUACGGUUAGUCCGUAGUUCGAAGCCUUUUGCAACAAAUCCUCUGUUGUAGAGAGACGGGUGCAACAACAUGCUUGUUGCAACUUCAUUUGCUCAUGUGAAGAAGAUGUAGUGACUUUCUUUGUCUUAGUCCGACGGCUAUGGAGGUGGACGAUCUUUUCCAUUGCUUAAACCGGCCAACACCUAGUGCAGCCCAUAAAAUAAUUCCCGGUGCCUUUCAAGCCUAUGCAACUCGUAUGGAACACACUUUCUACUCUCUUGAUGUAUGGAUUGUCUCAUCGUUUCUAGAGGAAAAUAAUUUGAAAUUGAGAGGCACGGAAGAGAUUGAUGUUUAUCAGUUGAGAAUUGAUGACAUGAAGGUGCCCCGCUGCCCACCGCAUUGCAUGGUUUUGUGUGGGCCCAUAAUAUUUCAGCACCUAUAAAUGAGCUCAGUUUGGGCAUCAUGACAUUUAUGUGUGUCAAACCACAUAUUUGUCGCGUCAUAGGCUCUCACCGAUUCCACGCCUCCCAACUAUAAACAUUCACGAAGAAUUAAAGCAUACAACCAGCCUACUAUAUCAAGUUGUGCUGAGAGCAGAGCAUCUCCAAUAACUGCCCUAUAAUAGGGCACCAAAAUUUGCUUGAAGUAAAAUUUGGGAUACAAAAAAGUGUUUUUAGGGCACGAGAAAGUGAGUGUCUCCAAAAGUUGCCCUAAAAUGGGGUAUUGAAUAGGGCACCAUUGCUCCAACAACUGCCAUAAAAAUAGGGCAACCGCACCACAUCUUUCUUCUCCACAUAUGGAUAGAAAUUAAACUUUGCAAGAUUUCCUUGAGUGUCUUCUCCACCAACAGCUGCUCACAAAAUUCAAUUACUGAACUUGAGUGUCUUCUCCACCAACAGCUGCUCAAAAAAUUCAACUACUAAAACCAAAUCUAACAGGAAGACCGACAAAAUCAAAGUAGAUACUAAAUUUGAGUGUCUUCUUUUAAUUUCUUUGUAUUGCACAGAACUACACACCAAAAUGGCAUGGGAUACAAUUUCAGCGAAUAACAAACGAAAUUGACAAGAAGUUCCUUUGUAACUUUCUUCAGUAAAAGGAACAGUGAAAGUCUGAACUUUCUGAAAACUAACACCUGCAUCUUGGCCUCUUACACUUUCGUCAGAAAAAGGAAAGCUGGAAACUGAACUUUACUAAUGAAUUACAUCGGGACUAGCAGCGGCGCAUUCAAGCAGCACCUCCACGACCCGUACAAACUCCAACAACCCAUUCUGCAGCACCACCACACAAACCACUAACUAGCCAUCAGGCUUUCAUUUAGCUUUGUACUCUCUCUGUAAACUAAUAUAAGAUUAUUUAGGUCACUAGAGGGAAUAUAUGAUAAAUGUGUUUGCUUUCGCAAAAAAAAAAAAUAUGAUAAAUGUGUUUGGAAGAGGGCUAACUUGCUUUAUUUGGAAUCGCCAAGGUGAAUCUAACUUCCUUUUUUCUUGGCAAAACAAAAUAACUGCACUAUCGUGCUACAAUCAGCAACAGAAUUGGUCACUACCCAUGCCAUGCAAUUCAGCUCAAUUCACUCUAUUAAAAAACUUCAAGUCAUAGCACGAGAAAUUUCCACUUUAAAGGAAUCGAAACAUCCUCACCACGCAACCCAGUAGAAAUGAAACAAUCCUACAUGCUCAACCCACAACAACGGAAGCUCCGAGCCGCACUAGCCCCGGGUCACCGCAAUUGCAUUUGAGAACUUAGCCAUGGCCUCGACAACAACAUUGAAGAAGGCGUCGGAGCCAAAGCCCUUUGUCUGGAUGUGCUAGCAAAGCUCCGCCACCACCCAUGGAGCUCGCUCAGCUUGGAUGGGUGGCCGGAGCCGAAUCUCGCAGGGAUAGAGAUCAAAUCGGACCUAGGGAAGAGGGGACGAGGUGAGGGGCGCUAGAGUUGGGGGAGGCAUCAACCGCAGUGAUGCUCGCAAGAGUAGAGGCAGGAAGGGCACGUGGGAAAACACCCGACCGACGAUUUUGCGACAGCGGCCCAAGUGUAGAGUUGGAUCAGCCGACGGUGAUUUGCAGGUGUAGAGGCAGGAAGGGUGCGUGGAAAACGCCCGACCGGCGGUUUUGCGACAGUACUUUAUGCUGUAUUUUUGGGCAGCGCUGGAAAUUUUGGAGCAAAUUUUACAUUAAGGGCAGGUAUUGGAGCAGUGUUUCUGGCCCCAAAUGCCCUAAAUACGUUAUGGGGAGAUUCUCUGAGUUGAUGGGGAGUUUAGGUGUUUACACACACUCCAAAUCACAAGUCUUACAACGGUUGUUUCAGGCCCUAAAUAAACACACAAAAUCUGUCAGGCAGAUUAACGUCUUACACCCACACAAACGGAAGCAAUUUGCUUGGCUUUACAUAUAUCCAAGGUAACAUUUCUAGAUCUGUUGGAGAAGCUCGUAUACAUUGGGUGCAUGUUGCAUGGAGAAGCUCAUACAAGUUAAAUGUGCAUGCUGAAUUUGGUAUCCAAGUCGAUCAGCUCAGGUACAAUGAGGAAUAUUACUUAGUUCCACAGUAUCUCUAACAAUGGUUGGAGAAGCUACACAUUUAAAUCUCAGACAUGCAUGUAUUUCGGAACGGAGGCAGUAGUUUUUUACAGAAUGUGACAUUUGGAACUAUAGACUGUUCUUUUCAACUACUCAGAAGGCUAACUAAAAUUUCAGAAACAUUUAUGAGAAAGAAAUAGAACAGCAUCACAUCAAAAAAAAAAGAUGGACGCAGGGCAGAAUUACAUAUAUCAAGAGUACUGCAAAAUUAAUAGCUGCAUAAAAUUCAGUCACAAACACAUAUAAUCCCACAUUACAUAAAACUCAGUCUUGGAACAAAACCAGACUAGCAUUAAACAGCUAAAUUGGACAGAACACAGGUAAGACAGCUUCCACAGCCAUAGCAGCAAACACGCCAGGAAUCACUAGACCAUGCCGUCCUCCCUCGAUGCCUGGCAGCCUGGAUGUAGGAUGAUGCUUCCCCUGCUCCAAGGCGCCUACUUGGAUCGCUGCCUCAUCUUUCGGCGCUUCCUCUUGAGCCUCCUCAUCCUCUUCUUCUUCCACUGCAAAUUUAAGUAACCGCACAGUUCAUCAGCACAAAUUGCGUAGUACUACUCUAGUAGAUGCAUGGCCAAAUAACAAGAAAGUACAAUUUGUUUUGGAAUCAGAAGAUUUGAGUGUUUCAUUGGAUAUCAUCACGUGAUUUUCAGAAACACGGACCAAUUGUUCUUCAUCAUUUCCCAAAGACUGACAAUGUUGAAAAGGCAAAUAGGAAACAACCAAACUAAGAUAUCUAAAGAACUAGCUAAGCAAAGUAGAGAUCUGCAGUCGGUUUGACAUUCAGAAUGAGUAGGAGGAUUUUAUCAUCAAAUGGAUCAGACGCCAAUAGUCAUCCUCAUCAUGCCAACCGACGCAAUUGAACGAAAGAAAGAACAAAUCUAGAAAGAAACACUGGCAAAGAAAACACUAUUCUCUCAGACAAAUGCCUCGAUUGUCCACAUGGUUUUAUAGAAUGGAUUACAUCGGACUCGUCAUAUGUUUUCAUCAUCACAGAGAACUAUAAACAAACAUGCGCAAAAAAUAUCAACUCAGUCAACAGAAACUACAUCCUAGAAUCUCUGAGAACAGGCAAAUCGAACUAUAAUAGCAGGUUCUCUCAGACAAAUUUGCCUCAUUUUUGUCCCCACGGUUGAAUGGAAUGGAUUGGAUCGGACAUCUAAUCAGUGUUGAUCAUCACAGAGAACCACUAAUUACGACAUCGAGCAACAGCAACAGCAGGAACGAAAGCUCGAUAAACACUAGCACAUGCCCAGAUCUACCGCGGUCGCGAAGCAGCUAAUAGGAGAG
Molecule: long non-coding RNA, 27661 nt
Filed under: Triticum aestivum (bread wheat)
Lineage: Eukaryota; Viridiplantae; Streptophyta; Magnoliopsida; Poales; Poaceae
Description: long non-coding RNA (TAES_LNC006235)
Rfam family: MIR1120/MIR1122 microRNA precursor family (bases 8179-8313)
Source: RNAcentral